AGCGUUGGCCGCGGGCUGGGAGGGGCUGGGCGCCCGGCCGGGCGCGUUUCGGGCCGCUGCCGGGAUUGGGACCGGGACGCCCGCCCACGCUGCCGCCGCGGGACAGCGACGCGAAACACAAGUACGGCUUGUUUUGGGGGAUUUUUUUGUGUUUUGGCUUUUUUUUUUUUUCUUAUAGUUAUCGUUAUUUUUACUGUGACUAAAAGGCCUGCUUUAAAGACACUUAGAGGUUGUUCCUUCGAAGGUUUGGAACUACGAACAAGCGCAAAGUGCACAAAUCGUCGCUCGAGGGCUCCGGCGGCCGCUCCGGCCCGGUUCGGUGGUUCUUCCCCCUCUCCCUGGUUCCCGAACUCAGCGCUUUGCUCAGGGUUUUCUUCCUUCUUUCUAUUUAAAUUGAAAAGGGGGGCGGAGGGGCGAGAGGGUCGCCCAGCUCCCGGCCGUUGGUUUUGUCGUCUUCGCUACUYGAAGCCGGUUCCGCGUGGCGGUGGCGGAGCUGCCCGGCCCGCGGGGCGCUCGGCUGCGUGUGGGGCCGGAGGUGCCCGUGGGACCCCCGCGAAGGGGGGGCAUCGCGGUGGGGCGUGCGGGGCCGCGGCGCUCGCCGGCGAUAUUCGCGCUUCGCCCACGUGGGAUGCCCAAACGGGGACUCGCCCGUCGGCCCACGGCGGYCUGGAGGCAUCUCGGGCGCCUCGCGGGCCCCAAGGAGCCCACGUGGGGUCCGGCUGCCGGGGGGGGGCACCAGCCCCAUCGCAGCAAGCUCCCACCGCGGCCCGCUGCUCUCCAGGGGUUCGGCACCGCCUCUGCCGAGCCCGGAGCUGGGCUCUGCCGCACUCGGCACGCGUGUGGGUGCCCGCGGCGGUCCCAGGACGGGUUCCUCUCCCCGGGGCACCCGCGAGGGCCGGCGGACCAAACCCCUCCCGGAGAGCCGGGCGGCGAGGCAGCAGCGUUACUGGCCUGGCGUGGCAUGGCUUGGGGCAGAGAGCCUGGAGGGAGUCGAGUUGCACACUGAAAAAAUAUAUUUUUAUACCUAGCACAACUUCCUGUAUAUUUUGGGGGUUUUUUCUUUCUUUCUUUCUUUCCUUUUUUCUUUUUUCUUUUUUUUUUUUUUGA
This 1107-nucleotide long non-coding RNA is filed under the name Dromaius novaehollandiae (emu). RNAcentral describes it as "lncRNA (ENSDNVG00000011957.1)". Lineage: Eukaryota; Metazoa; Chordata; Aves; Casuariiformes; Dromaiidae. The record is from RNAcentral.